UUUUAUUAUGAAAAAUAUUUGAAGUUUUAAUUGUGAAAAAUAGUUUAAUUUUAUUAUGAAAAUAAGUAUGAUUUAUGUUAAAAAAUAAAAUAGAGUUUUGACUAUUUAUUAUUCAUAUUGAUAAUAAAAAAUUAAUAAAAUUAAAAUCAACAAUUAAUGAAAAGAAAUCAAGAAUUAAAAAUUAAAGCAAAUGAGUACAAGCAUAAAUGGGGGAAUGCUGCUAAGUAAAAAAAAGACAAAAUGGGCUUAAGGCCCAAACUAAAAAAAACAAAAGUAAAUGGAAGGGGGUGUUGCAGCAAGGUGGGGUGCAUGGCCUAAGGGGCCAAUGCCCAAUCCACUUUGGUAGAAAAGCAAACAAACAUACAAAAAAUGAAGGGGAAGGAUCUAGAGGUGUUGGGCCAUAUGAUGGAGAUCAAAUGGCUACGACUUUGCAACAAUACAUUACUAUCCAGUCCGCAUGAUCAUUAUCAUGUAGUAAUCAUACUAGGGUCCACGGUAGACACCAUUAGGGGGCAUGUACAUGAUUGCUCCAAAUUGUAAGCAUAGCCCCAAAAGUCUCAUAACACGUUGCACUUAAAAAAAAUAAAAAAAAUAAAACCAAGAGAAAAGCAAGUCAGUUAAGAAAAAAAUUAUUUUUCAUCUCUCUUCUUCUUUCCAUAUUUUCCUCUCUUUCUCUCACUCUAUUCUUCCUCAAAAUUUUCCAAACUCAAUUUCUAAAUUCAAAUUAAACAAAAUCUACUCAAUCACUCUUCUUCUCUCACUUUUAAUUUCAACCUUAACAAACUGAACCAAACAAAGUCCAAACUCAAACGUGAAAGUAAAAAAGGAAGGCAAAAGCUACCAGAAUGAAUAUGAUGGAUUCCGUGAGAGGUGACCAGUGUCAUGGAGAAGAAGGUGGCACGAAGGUGCUAGUGGUAAAGUCCGGUUGCGAUUGGACGGGGAGAGUGGCGCAAUUCCGAUGGUGGGUGACAUAUUUAAGGGUUUGUGGAGGUCGGAGAUGGAAGCGUGACGGCAUAUCUGCUCUGUUUUGGUUGAUUUGAUUCCACUCUUUCUAUUUUUCACUUUCUUUGGUUUGCCUUAAUUUUUAGUUUAUGCCAUGGUGUUAAAUUGAAUAUUGUUGUUAUGGUUGUUUUUUUAAUGGUCAUUUUGGUGUUGAUGAAGGAAUGGAAGAAGAUGAUAAGGUUAUGUUGUUGUUGAAUGUGGUAUUGAUGAGUGAAUGGUUUAAGGUUUGUGUAUGGUUGAAUGAUGAUAGUGAUAGGUUAGUGAUUUUGAUGUUGUUAAUGGUGUUAUGUAAAUAUGGUUAUAUAGGGACAAUGUGAUGCUAGAAAAUGGUUUUAUUAUGUUAGUUUUUUGUGAAAUGAAGAUAGAGUGAAAGUGUUAUUGUUGGUUUACAUUGUUAUAAUGGUGAUGUGAAAUAUGAUGAAGGUUGAGUAGAGAAGGUGGUUGAUGGUGAAUAGAUGAUGUUGUGUGUGCUUUUUGCGUCCCAUCCCCCAUGUGUGCUGAGAUUUUGUUUUUUUACAGACUAGAAUUAGGUCUAAGGUUUAAUUAGAUCUAAAAAGAAAAUAAUUAUAAUAUUAAAUGAAAUAAAAAAUAAUCAUGUCCUUUAUUAUUAAUACAAAAAUAAAAUAUUUUCCUGAUUUUUUAU
Molecule: long non-coding RNA, 1645 nt
Filed under: Lathyrus oleraceus (garden pea)
Lineage: Eukaryota; Viridiplantae; Streptophyta; Magnoliopsida; Fabales; Fabaceae
Description: Pisum sativum (pea) long non-coding RNA (PSAT_LNC002696)
Source: RNAcentral